GUUGUGGCUCAGUGGUAGAGCACUUGCCUGGCAUGUGUGAGGCCCUGGGUUUGAUUAUCAGCCCCACA
RNAcentral lists this transfer RNA (68 nucleotides) under Marmota monax (woodchuck). RNAcentral's name for it is "tRNA.Ala". Lineage: Eukaryota; Metazoa; Chordata; Mammalia; Rodentia; Sciuridae. The record is from RNAcentral.